Molecule: ribosomal RNA, 636 nt
Filed under: uncultured bacterium
Lineage: Bacteria
Description: bacterial SSU rRNA
Rfam family: Bacterial small subunit ribosomal RNA
Source: RNAcentral
GAGUUUGAUCCUGGCUCAGGACGAACGCUGGCGGCGUGCCUAAUACAUGCAAGUCGAGCGAGCUUGCCUAGAUGAUUUUAGUGCUUGCACUAAAUGAAACUAGAUACAAGCGAGCGGCGGACGGGUGAGUAACACGUGGGUAACCUGCCCAAGAGACUGGGAUAACACCUGGAAACAGAUGCUAAUACCGGAUAACAACACUAGACGCAUGUCUAGAGUUUGAAAGAUGGUUCUGCUAUCACUCUUGGAUGGACCUGCGGUGCAUUAGCUAGUUGGUAAGGUAACGGCUUACCAAGGCAAUGAUGCAUAGCCGAGUUGAGAGACUGAUCGGCCACAUUGGGACUGAGACACGGCCCAAACUCCUACGGGAGGCAGCAGUAGGGAAUCUUCCACAAUGGACGAAAGUCUGAUGGAGCAACGCCGCGUGAGUGAAGAAGGGUUUCGGCUCGUAAAGCUCUGUUGGUAGUGAAGAAAGAUAGAGGUAGUAACUGGCCUUUAUUUGACGGUAAUUACUUAGAAAGUCACGGCUAACUACGUGCCAGCAGCCGCGGUAAUACGUAGGUGGCAAGCGUUGUCCGGAUUUAUUGGGCGUAAAGCGAGUGCAGGCGGUUCAAUAAGUCUGAUGUGAAAGCCUUC